AUCUUGCACAAUGGGCGCAAGCCUGAUGCAGCAACGCCGCGUGAGUGAAGAAGGUCUUUGGAUUGUAAAGCUCUUUCGGCUAGGAAGAAGGGUGUUGUAGCUAAUACCUACAGCAUUUGACGGUACUAGAAGAAGAAGCACCGGCUAAUUCCGUGCCAGCAGCCGCGGUAAUACGGGAGGUGCAAGCGUUGUUCGGAUUGACUGGGCGUAAAGCGCACGUAGGCGGGUAGAUAAGUCGGAUGUGAAAUCCCUGGGCUCAACCUGGGAACUGCAUCCGAAACUGUCUAUCUUGAAUGCUCGAGGGGUUGGUGGAAUUCCUGGUGUAGGAGUGAAAUCCGUAGAUAUCAGGAGGAACACCGGAGGCGAAGGCGGCCAACUGGCGAUGCAUUGACGCUGAGGUGCGAAAGCGUGGGGAGCAAACAGG
RNAcentral lists this ribosomal RNA (424 nucleotides) under uncultured bacterium. RNAcentral's name for it is "bacterial SSU rRNA". It matches the Rfam family "Bacterial small subunit ribosomal RNA", at positions 361 to 776 of the family's 1533-position model. The record is from RNAcentral.